UUAAGUUGGUUACAUCAAGUACAGGUUUAUAUAUUUUGGAAAACAUAAGCUAAUGGCCAUCAAGCUAGCAUGUUAUUGGGCAAUCUUGUUUGUGUUGCCUCUAACCAAUGCUAACACUACUGUUGUUUGCAAUGACACAUAUUCAAACACACAAGGUCUGCAGUGUUUUCCAUGUAGCCCAGGGUAUACAAAGAAAGAUGAUUGUAGGACAAACCAAACUCUCGCACAGUGUACCCAAUGCAACGAAGGAACGUAUCAACCACACUGUAUUUCUGCAAAUGAAACGGGAGAGUGCAGAAACUGCACAUCAUGUGCUGUUUAUAUACAAAAUUGUACUAUUUACCAUGAUGCUGUCUGUGGAUGGAGUAAUAAUGUAAAGGGUAUAUCAUUAUUA
Molecule: long non-coding RNA, 394 nt
Organism: Mercenaria mercenaria
Lineage: Eukaryota; Metazoa; Mollusca; Bivalvia; Venerida; Veneridae
Exons: 3
Source: RefSeq, a predicted model, not a curated record